This 253-nucleotide ribosomal RNA is filed under the name uncultured bacterium. RNAcentral describes it as "partial 16S ribosomal RNA". It matches the Rfam family "Bacterial small subunit ribosomal RNA", at positions 524 to 776 of the family's 1533-position model. The record is from RNAcentral.
UACAGAGGUCUCAAGCGUUGUUCGGAUUCAUUGGGCGUAAAGGGUGCGUAGGCGGCGCGGUAAGUCGGGUGUGAAAUCUUGGAGAUUAACUCCGAAACUGCAUUCGAUACUGCCGUGCUUGAGGACUGGAGAGGAGACUGGAAUUUACGGUGUAGCGGUGAAAUGCGUAGAUAUCGUAAGGAAGACCAGUGGCGAAGGCGGGUCUCUGGACAGUUCCUGACGCUGAGGCACGAAGGCCAGGGGAGCAAACGGG